UCGAUCAGAUCCGAAAUACUACGACUACAUAGAUUUAUAAAACCUAUUCGGAAAGCGCCAAAACGGAUCAAGCUCUUUGCAUUAUUAGAUAUUUAAAUUUAGCCGAGUCUAAUCCGGUUGAAAAUUAUCUCGCAAUAUUAAUACACAUCAAAGUAAAAUGCUUCAUCGUAUAAAUUCUUCGUUGAAAACAAAAUCUAUUCCGGUUAUUAUUACCCGUGAUGAAAAUACGCGACGUCUGCAUCGUGUCACAUUUUUUUGUUUUUGUCGAACGGAUUAUUACAUUUUUACACUGUACAAAAACCACAAUAACCGUCUCUAUACCAAUAAACACGC
Molecule: non-coding RNA, 333 nt
Organism: Cinara cedri
Lineage: Eukaryota; Metazoa; Arthropoda; Insecta; Hemiptera; Aphididae
Source: the annotation of a GenBank genome assembly